This is a non-coding RNA of Acanthosepion pharaonis, 96 nucleotides long. Lineage: Eukaryota; Metazoa; Mollusca; Cephalopoda; Sepiida; Sepiidae. The record is from the annotation of a GenBank genome assembly.
UUUAAUCACCGGUUCUCAUAUGAUUACCGAAGUUAAGUAUGAUCGCGAUUGAUCAGUACCUAGAUGGGUGACCGUUGGAAAACACCAAGUGCUGUA